AAAUUUUUAAUUAAGUUUUUGAGGAUAAAUAAUUUUUAAUAAAGUUAUUUAGAAAAAUAUAAAAAUAAUACGUUUUAUAAUAAAUUUAUUGAAAUAUUAAUACAAAUAUCAUUUUAGUUAAGCAAUUAAAUACGUAUAAAAGAAAGAGAAAAAUAAAUUAAUAUAAUUAUUUAAUUAAAAAAUUAAAUAAUUUAGUUAUAUUAUUUUAUAAAUUAUAUAAUAAGAAAAAAACAAAAAAAGAAAACAGUUCAAACUUUGUGCAUAUAUUGUAUAUUUAUAUAUUUAUUGUAUCAAUAUUUAAAAUUAUCAUUCUAUAAAUAAAUUUCAAUUAACAUUUUACUUUCAUUUUUAACGAAAUUUUAUUUAUGGUAUAAGUAAUGUAAUUCAAUAUACCUAUAUAUUAUGUUCUCAUAUUCAUGUUUUUUGUAAAAAAAAAAAAAUUAAAGUCAUUAAGAAAUAAAAAUUAAUUGAUUCGAAAUCUAACAGAAUUUUCAAUAGGUUAAAAAUUGAUUCAACACUGACAUGCAAUGCAAGGGCGCGUGCGCAAUAACAUCUGGAAAGCUCGGCUUGCUCUUUCGGUCCUUGUCGGCCGUAACCGCGAUCCUCUGUUCCGACGGUGUCGCCUACCCCGAGCUCAGUGAGCCGAUGUGUGAGCGCCGCGACGCCCAGAACAGCCUCAACGUUAAGCGUCGCCGACGUGGGUUUGACGAGAGGCCACGUUUUCUUUCUCGCCCUUGUCGUCGUCAUCAUUGUUGUCGUCAUUUUCGUCAUUCGUCUUUUUAGUUAUCUUUUUUCGAUUAGCUAUUGUGGUGGCGCACGCGGCUACACAUCGCCGAUCGGUUUGGUGCGCGACGAAAGAGAAACAGAGAGAAAGACAGAGACAGAAACGUGUAUAGUAUAUCUUCCUCUUUUUCUCUCUUCUUUUAUCAGUCUCUUUCUUUCUCUCAAUUUUCUCCGCCCUGAGCAUUUCUAUCUUUCUCUAUCUUGACAAUUGUAUUCAUUCGCUCGACAUCAUCGUCUCUUGCUGUCAUUGCUGUCUUUUCCAUCGGUGGUUCACGUGUCUCGCGAAUGCGUUGCAAAACGCAUCUUCUCUCUCUGAUCUCCAUCGGCUUCUCGUUGUUUGAGGAACGUAUGGCUACAAAAAGGAAAGAGGAUGACCGCGACCGAGGAAACGAUCAACGAUGAACCAUCGACCAGCAAGAAGAAAAAUGACAUAAAUGUAAAGGGUACAUAACAUACGUAUUCGAUCUAUUCUAAUCUCGUUCAAUUUAAUUCGUAUCGCGGAUCCUUCUGAUAUAAGAAAAUCAUUUAUAGUCGAUGCUUUUUUCACUCCUUCGUUCAAACAUGUCGUUUCUUUUUCUUUUUUCUAUAUUUCGUUAUAUUAUUUAUUUUUUGCUUUCUUCUUUAGUUUCAUUAUUUUGUGUAAAUUAAAUAUACAUAAAACAAAGAUAAUUGGAGUAAGAGUUGAAAAUGAUACUGUAUUUUGAAAAUAAGCGAAAAAAGGAAAAUAUGAGAAAUGAGAGCGAGAGAAAAUGUGCUGUGGUUGAGUGGGCGGGUGAAUUAUGGAAAGAGGGUGAAAAGGAAGGAGAUGAGACCAAUGGUAGUAUACGUGUACACAUAUAUAUGUAUAUAUAUAUAUACAUACAUAUAUAUAUAUAUAUACAUACAUGUAUAUAUAUAUAUACAUAUAUAUAUAUACAUAUAUAUAUAUAUAUGUAUAUAUACGUAGAGUGAUUUGUAUGGAAUGCAUGAGUAAAUAAAGAUAGCGAUAUAUUGCGACAUGAUGUUUCUCGAGGAUUCUUUUAAAUAAUGUUGAAGGAGCAAUUAUAAGUUUUUAAUUACGUGACAAUUAAGUUUAUUUGAUGUUACAUCUAUUCUUGCGAAUUUUUUUUAAUUUCGCUGAUUGAACAAUAAGUGUCUUAAAUGUAAACAAAAUAUCGUUUAAAAAGCAUUCAAUGAAUUAUUACAUUUGAGUCAAAACUUUUCUUUUAAUAAUAUUACAGAAAAGUAUUAUUUUUUUUUGUCCGUAUUACAUUUUCAGCAUGUAUCGUCUGAUCAACACAAUGGUUAAUAAGGAUUUGAUUCAGAUUUGACCUGUUGAUUCUGCAGAAAACGCUUGUAUUAUGCGAGAUAUGCAUGUUACCUGAUGUUAAAUCAAUUGAAAUAUAUAUGCUAUUAUCGUGCAUACAAUGUCAUAGUUUAAAAUAUUUAAUUAUCAUAUAGGGAAAUAAUUUAUUGCAAAUCUUAUAAUUAUAAUAUUUUUUAACAAUGUCAUUUAAAUUUAUAUAAUUUAUAUUGAAAUUUUUUUGAAUACAAAUUUUAAAUGUUCAUUGACUUUUUUACAUAAAAAGCGCAAAAGUUUACAUAAAAUCAUAAAAAAUUGUUAUGUAAUGAUUGAUAAUUUCCAUGUUAUUAUUCAUGAUGCGCUUGCAUUUUUUUAAAUAAAAUUUAUAUUUACACGAUUGUUAAUCGAUAUAAAAUUAAACUUGUUGAAUUCAUGAAAAGAAAUUCACGCAGUUUCACAUAAUUUUAUAAUAUAAUGUAAUAUAUUAAAUAUAAUAUAUAUUAAAUUUCUAAAUAAAUAUAAUAAUAAGUAGAUAUUAUUUUUAAAUUUAAUAUUUUAUUUUAUUAUUUUUGUACUAUUAAAAAAAUAAAACAAUGAUACAAAUUUAAAUGUUAUAUAAUAAUUCCGCAAAAAUUUUAAAAGUUAAUUCUAGAAAGCUGAGAAUUAUAUAUUUGUAGAAACAAGAAUGAAUACAAGCUUUAAAUAAAACUAUAGAAAUAUAAUAAGAUAAAUAAAAUUAUUAAAACAAUCGAUAAAAACAAAUUAUUGAAAUAAUUUUAUAUAUAAUAUGUAUACUUUUCAUAAUAAUACAAAGUAUAAUACAUGUAAAAUAAAAAAAUAUUUAAUAUUGAAAUAUAAAAAUAUUGUACUGACAUACAUAUUAUGUAUACACAUGUACUAACAUGUCGAAACUUUUAAAAUAUUGAUCGUACUGUCCUGUGAAAUAGAAUAUCUGACUACACGAUCUUUUAAUUAGUUUAAGUAGCGUCUAUUCAAUUAAUUCCAAUAAGUUCAAGUUCGCAUUAACGACACAUUAAUUAUAAUAAAUAUAAAUUUAUCUAUCGAAUGACAAAGAAUAGUUUUUAAAUUUUUUAGGUUAUCGUAUUUUUUAGUCCAUUAAAAUCUUCUGCUGCGUCGAAUCGACAAUAAUGUAAAACUGCAGCCAAAAGUUACGAUACUUUGUACGUGGGAGUGAAAAUGCACGGCAAAGAACGCGCAUACAUCGUUCAAUUUCUCAUCGCUUAUUUUCUACAUCCAUGCAAAUAUUCGCGGCAGUGAACCGGCUUGUGACAAACAUUGCCACGAAGGAAAUUUAAAAUCAUAUUUUUGUGUGAAUCGCAUGUGUUGUCGCACACGGGACUAAAGUAUAAACAAUGAAAGUUUGAUAAAAUAUAUUCGUGCAUACAAGAGAAUUGAUUGCUGGACGACAUCUAUAUGAAACUGGAGUACCGAAAUACAUGCAGCUCGUGAACAAAUAUUGUUACUUUCAAAAACUUUUCAACGUCAUUCUACAUCGCUACCAGAAAAAGUAAAAAAAAAAAAAAAAAAAAGGCUUCAUGCGAGGAACACGUAAAAUACUAUUUUUAAAAGGAAAAAAAAAAAAAGGCAGACUCGACACACUCUGAAAUACUCACAGACACAAUCACGAAAAUCCUAAUAGAAUGUCCAAGGCUAAACCGUUUGGAAAGUUUCGGUAGCAAUAUCCCUAUACGGUAUUAGUAAAGAGCAAGCGAAGUCCAUCAGCAUCGACCCACACCAUAACUUCCGCAACGAAGAUUGUCCUCGUCGAUCAAUUUUUAUUUCAUCUUCUUCUCAUUAUACUCGUCAACGUUAUCAUCAUCAUCAUCAUCGUAAUUUUUCUGAUAAAAGAAAGAAAGGAGAUCAACGGAUAUGAUAGAAGAAAGGACGGUUGAAUAAUUCGAUGCAAAGAGAAGGAAGCUUUAAUCUUCUUUAUGAAAAUGAGGUUUACGUUUGAACAGCAAAAUGACGGACUCCAUGGGAAUCAAGAAAUCGUUACCUUGCUGAUGUCAAUUUAGCCAGGCCGUAACCAUUCUUCUCUGACGCAGUAAAAGUGACAAAUGAAGCGAAAAACUGGAACGUCCGCUUGUUUUGUACUGGCAGUUUUCUCUGGUGAGACUUAAAGUUCCACAUGGACUGUACUGAACGUGCUCUUUGUAUCGUGACAUUUUAUUUGUGCGAUAUUAGAGAUGAAAUAUCAUUGAGGAUACGUAGUACCAUUCACGUUCUUUCUGUUUUCUUUCUGAACUUGUUUUCAGAGAGAAAGAUGCAACUGGUAACAAGUAAUCUGAAUGGAUAAGAGACGUUACUUAGAAGAUAUUCCUUCAAAAUUUAUUUAUAAUUUCAAUAUUCUGUUUUCAAAAAAAGAAAAGAAAGAGAGAAGAGGCGAAUAAAGGUUUACACGAAGUGAAAAAUGAUUAAAAGUCGAAUUACAAAAAGAGCUUGCGUAUUAUGCUCCUUGCAAUUCCCCCAUAAAAAAUGAAAAAAAGGAGAAAAGAGAGAGGCGAAGCAAAGAAGAAGUGCAUAGGGGUAUAAGAAGCAAACUCUCUUAUAGGUCAAUGGAUCCAGGGGGAAGGUUCGAGUGCUUAAGGAAGCCAAGAAACCGGUAGGAUUAUAAUACCGGGUGAAAAGAUCCUUAACAAACGUCGUAAAACGGGUAGUCUUGAAUUUCUGGCUAAAGAAAGAACCGGUUCCAGCCUCUUCUGAUGAAUGUAAUUAAACGUUAAAGUAUUGCACUUACGCGUUUGUACUUGAAAUGCGGACGGGGACGAAAGCAAUUAGAAACGAAGGGAAAAGAAAAAAAAAAGAAGAAGAAGAAAGAAGGAAAGGAAAGGAAAAGGGCUCGCGUGGCGUCGAUGGCUAAAAAAUAGGGCUGUGCAACAGAGCAGAAAAUAUCGAGAAUUGUUUCAGAGCAGCAACGACAAAAAUUAAAAGAGCAAUCUUAAAAUCUACUGCAGAUACAAAAUAUAAACAUAAUGGGGCAACCAUGUUACAAUGUAUAACCAUGGAAUGGAAGAAAAUACGAGGUCUAAUUUUCAAAAUGGCAUAUGAGAUUUCAUCUCUAAUGGGAUUAGACAUGCCCCGAUAGACCUCUUGUUAAUAAUGCUAGAAGAAUCGUAACAAUAUCCCCAUCUUUGGGGAUAUAAAUUACUUUGGGACGUAUUAUCUUAAUAGAAGGGGACUCGAGAAUUUUUAUAACAGCGUUUCUCAUUCUUCCACUUUAUAACUUAAACCUAGACUUGGAUAUAUAUAUUAAAAUUAUGUAUAUUUGGACGCGGUUCAAAUGUGUUUCGAACAGUUUGGAAUAGUUGAGAGAAAGAAUUCUUGUAUACUUUUGUUCUACGACCCAUUAAAAAUCGAAUACGCAUAAAUUCAAAUUAUUCGAAUUAAUUUCCAUUUUUAUGAGAAGAAUUAUUUUAUAUAAAUUUUGUAUUUAAAAGCGAGUCUAUAUUUUCAAUGAUUGUUUAACAUUUGUGCAACAUUGUGACGUGAGCAAGAGAUGACAGGAAAACGGAAAUCCCUUUCGUGCCGGGAAGCCAUAUUCUCUUCAUACAAGGAGGAUAUGUACUAUUGCGUGUGAAAGGCAUAACAAUACUGUAUAGAAUCUACAUAUUGUGCGGCUUCGCAUUAUAGUGUUUUAUUUUUCUUAUAGAAAUAUCAAGCUCCAAGUGAAAUAGUAACAUUGAUGAUAAUAAUUGCAAACGCACACUUUCCGUUCAUUCCAUCUUAUUAUUAUCCUUAUUUUAAAUAAUUACAAAUUUUACAUUAAUAACCGAGAUAAGGAUACAAGUUUAUAGGCCAUAAUGAAAUUAUAUGUUUUAUAUACCUGUGUCUAUACAUGAUGCAUUAUGUCGUGAUAUGCACAAUUUAUAUUUUAAGAAUAAGUUAGAGCAAAGAUAACGGUAAUUACGAUUUUGUAAGAAAAUUUUCUAGCUUGACACGUAUAAUUUUUUAUAAUUUCUCCUAUAAUUUAUUACCUGAUCUCAUCAGAGAUUUGUCUGCCAAUUCAUGGAAAAUUAAUUUUCUUUUCCAAGUACGGUUACACUUGUGAAUAAGAAACGUAUCAGAUUAGAUUAUAAUCAAUUAUGUUAGCAACUUAUAGAUGAUUUUCUUUAAUAUUUGAAUACUUAUCAUGGUCGAGAACAAAGUAACGAAUACUUAUUUAUUAUCCAAUAAAAAUUCAUUAUUUAAACUACUCUGAAUGAAAUCUUUCUUUUUAAUAAUUUCAGAAAUAAAUUCGCUACGUAGACUUCAAGAAUCAAAAUUACAGGUAGGAAUGAAUAUUCGUGCAAUUUCAUAGAAUUAAAUAUUACUUUAUUGAAAAAAAAUAAAUAAUCGAGUAUCAAAAAAUAGACUUAUAUCGAGUAUCGAGAUCUUGUCGACAAAGACACGUUUCGUACGUUUUUAAUCCCAAUGAUUUCUCCAUUUUUUAUUCCAGUUAAUUACUUAUUUAAUAAAAAAUACGAAUGAAAAAAAGGAUUAAAAAAAAAAUAUUUAAACGCGACAUCGAGAUAAUUUCUCCGCAUUAACUUCCUCCGUUUCUUAUUAUGCACUUCGAGGCUCGAGAUUAAGCGUUAUCAUUCCCCGUUUCGAAGUUCCACACAUUGGAACGACCAAUUAACGAAAGUUUAUGGGUAACCUGUAUCCUGAAGCCACUCGAACGCUCGUGGGAGGGUUCAAUUUAUUUCGAGAUUCUCGACCGCGUUUUUCACCGAGACUGUCCUCUCAUUUGCAUCGUGGAAGCAUCGUGCUGUUCCUGGUGGGGGGCAAUAGGUGCCCCUUCGACGUCAGGAGCGGCUGAAGUUAGGGGCGACUACGUUUAUUAUACGUAUAAAAAUAUAUAUUAUCAUUCUUUUUUUUUUUAUACGAAAAAAUAAAUUAUUUCGAUACAGUGAAAAUAUGAAAUAGCAUACGUGAUGUUCGAUUGUAAUAAUUGACGAAUUCGUGAAAUAAAGAUAAGCAAGAAGAGUAAACCGAUUUAUUUCACUGAAAUUGAAUGCUGAUAAUUAUCUUUGCUAUAUAUAUUAAUCUCGUGCUUACUCGUAUAAUAAACUAUUGAUCUCGAAAGAAAUAUUUUUUCUUUAAGGAUCUUUGUUUCAUUUUAUAAAAAUUAAUAUUUCAUUUGAGUUAUAAUCAUUAUAGCGUUCAAAACUACGUGUAAUGAAAUAAAACAUUGCAUAUCUAAGUUCUUGAUUAAAUAAUAUCGAAUUAAGAAAUCAGGUUAGAGGAUAUUAUUUUGAAGAAAGGAAUUUUUUGGAAUCAAUCUAGGUACAGCACUGAAACUCUCAGCUCACCCGCUAAGAAAGCAACCCUCAUUACCGUGAGUGUUUUAGAUUUCUUCGACUGAAAUAAUUAUCGUGCGCUUCUUUACUAUCAUAUCGAAUUACAAAUAUGCAAAAAUGGUGGAUGCAUUGAAGGAUAAAGGACGAUCUCGUCAAUAAUGAGACUUGGAUCGUGUCGAAUCAUUUAUUUUUAUCUCGAAAUUUUAUUAACGAAAUUCCAAUCGAUCAAAAUAAUGGAUAUUACCUAUUGUUAAAUGACGUAUUACUGUAUGUAUGGGAUAUCUUCAAGUCUAGAGACAAAAACAAAUAUCGGUUAAAAUUUAUCGAGUUACAAGUAAUUGAAAUUUGCAUUGGAUGGAGAGCUAUCUCACUUUAAUGAAAACUCAAAUUGCUCGUAAUUUAAUAAAUUUUAAUUGAUAUUUUCUUUUUUAGGUUAAAUUUUGUAUUUCUUUCCUUUACUCGAUUUUGUCUGAAAAAUUCACGAAAUAUUAAUACUUUGCAUAUUAUUCUUUUAUAAUUAUAACAACAUGCAAUGGUAUUUAUUGUUAUAAUUAGUAGCGAUAUUAAUUUUAUUUAAAUUAUGCUUUUCCUAGAUUCCUAGAUUGUAGAUUUUAGGAUAAUUUUUAGAUAAUUCAUAAUUUAUUUGCAAUGUAUUUGCUAAAGAUCUUAAUUGAGAAUAAUUAAGAGUAAUAAAAUUAAUUUAAUAACGUGGAUAUAAUUAUAAUAUAUAAAAUUUUCAUUAUCAUAUUACAUAUAAAUCAACACUCUUAUUCUGAUGCAUUGUUCUACACAAUAUUUUAAUUAUAUUCCUUAACUCGCUUAUUUAUAUAUUCGAGAUCCAGUUUUAAAUAUGUUACAUGAAUUAUAAUAGAGAGAAAUAAUUUUUUUUAACGUAAGAAAAUAAAUUUUCAUAUACGAUUAUGAUUAUUUUAUUCGAUUAUUAUGUUGAAUUAACACACGAAAAUAUUUUCACGCAAUUUCAGAUAAUUUCAAAAACGAAUAAUUGCGAGAAAAAUAAAUUUUUCCUAAAAAAUUAAAUCCGCACAAUCGUAAUAAUAUUAUAAUUGUUAUUCAUAACCUAAAACGUCUAAAACACUUUGAAUUAAUUUUGAAUUCUAUACAUUGUGAAUGAAAGAAAUUAAGAAAUAUAUAAUUUUGUAAAUCGAAAUCAAAUAAUUCAAAUACGUAACAAAAAAGAAAUAUUAAUAAAAGAAAGGACGUAAAAAUAAAUAUCGUAACACGAACGAUCACGCGCAAUAUGUCAAAUUCACGACAUCCAUGGCCUACUGGCUGCGAAUUGCGAAAUGGGAAAAGAAGGUCACGUUUCCGGGGUUACCGACCGUAACACGAGAAUCCACUAAAAGUGAGCGGGCCAUUUAAAAUUCUAUUAUUUAUUUAUUAUUAUCAUUUCCAUGCACGCUUGUAAAUUACAAAUUAUCGUUGCAAAUAAAAUUGUCGGAAUGUAAUAUGAAAGGAAUAAAAGAAAAUUAAAAAAGAUAUCGAGGUCGAAAUAACGAAGAAUAUUUUAAAGCGAAGCGUAUAAAAAUAAAAAAAGAUUGAAAAGAAACGAGAAAAUAGUGAAAAGGCAUAAAAUUGAUAAUACCUAUUUUCAGGGCUAAUAUUGUCAUACCGUGUUUUAUAGUAUCCCCGACCGAUAAAUCAGAAUUUAUGUCCAAUUUUACGUGGUAAAGCUGCGGUAUAAAAUAGAUCGUGGCAUGGCUAUAAAUUGCAAGAUAGAGAGAGAGAGACAUAGAGAAAGAGAAGAAAAGAAAAAAAAAUAAAAAUUGGCAAACAAUAUUUUCUCGUGAACAAGGAUCCGCUUUCGAAAAACUACAAUUUUAAAGUAUCGAAUCGAGGAGGUCCAAACAUUCUCCUCGUUUUCCUUUCAACAGGUUGCUAGUUGUUCAUGCUCACUAUACAACACACGCGUCUUUGUUGUACCAGGAGUAGAUUUCACGAUUUUUCCUCACCGUUUCGGCAAAUUGCUUCUUGAAAUUGGCCCAUAAGAAAAGAUAAACGACAGUUGGCCUUUGAUCCAUUUCAUUGCAAUAAAGAUAUCCAUACAUCUCGUUACAUCCGUUUACAUAUAGACGAUAAUGAAAGAUAAAUUAUCAAAAAUUAUCAGAAUUUCAUUCACUUUUCAUUUUCAAUCGAGAUUAUCGUUGGUCGAAUAAAAUUUCUAUCGCGAACAACACGAUCGAACGAAAGAUUCUCCUCGUUUUUUCCACCGCAAUAAUUUUCUUCCUUCUUUUUUCAUCACGUACAUUUACACGCAGACUUUAAAUCACUCAUUCGAAAACGCGAACCGCUUUCACAACUUAAUAUUAUACAAUAAAUAUAUAUUACAAUAACACAUUCGAUACAGUGGUAAUUGUCCACGGUACGAUUUAUUGGGCAACGCAAUAUUGCCAUAAAACGUCACGUGACGGCCGCAAUAACUAUAACCAACCAAUGAAACUUCAUCCGUUCACGAACACUUGCGAAACUUUCGCGCAUGCACACGUAGCACACGAUCUUGUACAUAUACGAUCAAACGCGUGUGCAACUACCCACCCACGCACAGAAAUUCGAAUCGUGGAAACGUCGUAUACGAAAGUUGGCUAAUUUCACGCGGACGCGUUCACAGCAAUGGCGGAUUCACACCGCCAUGAUAGAAUUCGAAAUCACGCACGCGGAGAGAAUCCCUGACGAGCAGGCCAAUCAUAAUCGCUUCGACCUAUACCGAAUACAGAUCAGCCGUGUUAGAGGUGUCGUCUUCUUCGAGUUUUCUUUCGAAAAAUGGAUUUUUUUUCAUUUUUUCUUUCUCUCUUCGGAAAUUAAUCUAACUAGAUCGCUCGUCACGGGACGAGCAGGAGUGGAUGUACGUGCACGAGAGCGGAAAUCUAACUUUGCCUCGGGCCUCGAACAGAUUUCCUAGAUUUGUGGAGAAUAAUUUUAAUUUUUAAACUCGAGGAUAAUUUUUAAACUCGAUGCUCAAGAAAAUGCGAAUUUUCCUUCAAAGAUGGAAAUAAAUGACGCGAAUUCGGAUUUUGUAUCGAAAUAAUUGUCUUAUUCAACAGCCAAAGAUUUGAAACUCUUUUCAAUCACGUUGUGCGUGGAAAUGUUUUCAACGAAUAUAGAAACAAUUAUCUUAUUCUUCGUUGCACUUUUUUCUGUAGAAUCCAAGAUAAAAAAAAAAAUCGUUAAAUCAAACGUGACACGAUCCUCGCUAAAUCGAGAGCCUCGUUAAUUUAUAUCAAACGAAACCCACGAAGAUCGGCCCCGGAAACCUCGCACUCCAAUCUUGGAGGAAAUCGAUUUCCAUUUGUCGCCGCAUUCUUCAACACCGUUACCAACUUCUUCCAUGAAUUUAUCAAGCCCGUAUCUCACCGAGAAACCAGUAAAACGUCUCUUAAUUAUCGAUAAUUCCCAAACUUUCCAAUUAUCCUUCCAACCAUAUAAUUUGCCCAAACUUUUAAAAUUAUUACCGAUCCAUUUCUCGUUUCCAAAAAAAAAAAAAAAAAAAAAUAA
Apis cerana (Asiatic honeybee) is the source of this 10875-nucleotide RNA transcript. It is a transcript of the gene named RYamide receptor, with no coding region annotated. NCBI's taxonomy places the organism in Eukaryota, Metazoa, Arthropoda, Insecta, Hymenoptera, Apidae. The record is from RefSeq and is a predicted model, not a curated record.